Bos taurus (domestic cattle) is the source of this 748-nucleotide long non-coding RNA. The record is from Ensembl. NCBI's taxonomy places the organism in Eukaryota, Metazoa, Chordata, Mammalia, Artiodactyla, Bovidae.
GGAUAGGCUACCCACUCCAGUAUUCUUGGGCUUCUCUUAUAGCUCAGCUGGUAAAGAAUCCGCCUGCAAUGUGGGAGACCCGGGUUUGAUCCCUGGGUUGGGAAGAUCCCCUGGAGAAGGGAAAGGCUCCCCACUCCAGUAUUUUGGCCUGGAGAGUUCCAUGGACUGUAUAGUCCAUAGGGUCGCAAAGAGUCGGACAUGACUGAGCAAAUUUCACUUUCCAAAAAUAGGUUAUUUAAAGUGUCACCAUGUUCUCUCAGCUUACUGUUCAGUGUCCCUGUGGACCCCAUAAGGGAAGGACACUCAUCAGCUUCUUUCCUCUUUCCCAGUGUCCAUACAGACGGCGGGUGGGGGCUGGAGGUGCCUCCAGCUCUCUAAGGAAGGCAGCUCAGAUCCAAGCAGGAUCCCGCAGGGGGCCUGAAGGACUCUGCCGUCACUUAAACGGUACACGUGCGUGAUGACCACCAUGAUGGAGGUGAAGGGAGGCAGGUGGCCCAUGCCUGGCACAUGUCCCCGCGUCCCCUGCGGUGUAUCAGGACCGUUCACCUCUUACUGUGCAAGUGCACAGACGUGAAAACAGAGAAUCUCCACUUCAUCCCUGGUCUGCUGGCUCUGAGCAUGGAGGACAGCUGUGGCUUGAUGAAGCUGGACACCGAGGCCAGAUUCCAGUGAGUCCUGCCACCAGCAGCUGGGUGAGCUUGGGCAUAUCACUGACCCUAACCACUCCCCACCCACGAGACUGCGGGGG